AGCUUUGCGCAGCGGUGAUAUCGUAACCAACCACGUUCUACCGAGGUACGAUUAUUGUUAGUUGAAAACUUUUGCCAAUAUCCCGCUUCGAAGAUUUAAAAAACCGUCGGCAAUUUAAAACGUUAGAGUCAUGUA
Molecule: small nuclear RNA, 135 nt
Organism: Bombus pascuorum
Lineage: Eukaryota; Metazoa; Arthropoda; Insecta; Hymenoptera; Apidae
Product: U4 spliceosomal RNA
Exons: 1
Source: RefSeq, a predicted model, not a curated record